Molecule: ribosomal RNA, 497 nt
Filed under: uncultured bacterium
Lineage: Bacteria
Description: partial 16S ribosomal RNA
Rfam family: Bacterial small subunit ribosomal RNA
Source: RNAcentral
GAUGAACGCUGGCGGCGUGCCUAAUACAUGCAAGUCGAGCGAACAGACGAGGAGCUUGCUCCUCUGACGUUAGCGGCGGACGGGUGAGUAACACGUGGAUAACCUACCUAUAAGACUGGGAUAACUUCGGGAAACCGGAGCUAAUACCGGAUAAUAUAUUGAACCGCAUGGUUCAAUAGUGAAAGACGGUUUUGCUGUCACUUAUAGAUGGAUCCGCGCCGCAUUAGCUAGUUGGUAAGGUAACGGCUUACCAAGGCAACGAUGCGUAGCCGACCUGAGAGGGUGAUCGGCCACACGGGAACUGAGACACGGUCCAGACUCCUACGGGAGGCAGCAGUAGGGAAUCUUCCGCAAUGGGCGAGAGCCUGACGGAGCAACGCCGCGUGAGUGAUGAAGGUCUUCGGAUCGUAAAACUCUGUUAUUAGGGAAGAACAAAUGUGUAAGUAACUAUGCACGUCUUGACGGUACCUAAUCAGAAAGCCACGGCUAACUACGUG